AUGUCAUAAACUGUUCAAACUUGUUGACACAUAUCUGAUUUCAACUGCGAAGGUUAGGGAACCCCGAGCUUACUCAAUACGGGUAAACAAGUUAGAAUGGGUUGUCGAUACGUUCACUAUUGUCGAGCAUAACAACAGACUUGCUAGCGGUGGUGGCAAAUUGUGGCGCAAUGCAGUACACCGCCAACCAAACUAAGAGAUUUCGGGAGGUCAGAGUUAUGGACGACAAGGCAAAGGCCAAUGAGAAAAUGCUAAUGGCAUACACUUUGAGAAGCUCCUCGGCCUGACCUUCAUCGCUGAAUCUUAAUUCUUAACCUAUUGACGAUGAAAUAGUAUUCAUUGCUUCGCAAUCUUCUACGGUGCAAAAUUUUUCUGUAGAAGGCGAAAUAUCAUUUCCCGACCAUUUCCAGUUUUUUACAUGCUUGCGUGUUCGGAAUGCAAACAUCUUGGGCGAAGUAAAGCAAAAAGAGAGGUUCAAUGCCUGAAAUGCAACGUACACAGAAUGUAGGUCCCAAGAUGCUACUUUGAGCUUGCCAUUACAGACGGCGGCGGCACAGCCACAACAACAGUGUCAGAAACCUUGCUUAUGCCACUUUGAGCUUGACAUUACAGAUGGCAGGGGCAGUCACAACAACAGUGUCAGAAACCUUUGCUGUAAGAAUGUUGUCCAUGACAGCUGAACAGAUAACUCUCACUAUUAAGGUGCACACAUUUAUACUGAAAUAAAUAUAACAUAUUAUCCUCCUUUAUCAUUAUAUUAGUACAACAUCUUAUUAUGUAGAUCCUAUCAGUGUGCUCUGUUUUUGACCUUAUCCUUAUACUGAAUCAUUGCCUAUCGCUCAUAUCAAGCGACAGUUUGCUCAUAAACUAUUCAGCCUUCACCUUCAAAAGUCACUAUUCAGAACGCCAUACAAAAAUGCUGGCACACUGGUCGUCUGAUCUUGCACUGAAAAACAACCCAUGUUUUCCCCAGAAUGUCCAAAGUCUGUGCUUCCCGGUGAAGGAAGUAAGAAACAAAAAAUGGCAGCCCCACUCAUACGAAGAAACAGUGAAGGUUAGAAACACAAACUAAGCAUUCCAAGUACUUGAAAUAACAUAUUCUCUAUAAUAUGUUUAUUCUCUUGCAAUACUUAUUUUAAUUUACAUAGGUAGCAGAAACCAAAGCUUGAGGGUGGUCAACGCUCAGUCAUGUCGUGUGGCAUGUAUAGCUGGAUUUUGAUAGCAAUUCCGACCUCAUAUAAUCGACUGCCUCAAUGAAGUAUUUCUCUUCUUGUGUAAUGAUUGUGAGUAGUGCGUACGUCUAUGCUGUGGCAUGUACAACUGGACUUUGACAGCCCACACCAACCGCAGAUAUCGGCCGCCUCAGCAAACUGUCCAAAUUUUUUAUUUAAAUACCUGUGAAUAGUGUGCCUGUCUUUUAUGUAAAGUCACUGUGGUCACUACUUUGCAUGUUGAAAAUGUUUGUUUCAGUGAGGUAUGUUCUUCAGUAUAUUUUACCUUUUUGCUUCCACUUGCGAUAAUUGUAGGAGAACUCUUCAAAAUAGAAAUGAACACCUCUAUUGUGAUACAACCUACAUAUCAUGUACAUAUGUAUUAUUUAAGAGUGAAAAAUAUUGAAGACAUUUCACAUCUUUCACAAACAUUGCACCAACAACUUUGGAUCCAAAUGUGUGUUCAUACUUCAAAAUUAACAUCUCUCAACUACUGUAUGUUCAAUUUCUCAACAUAAAUACAGAACAAUUCAUUGGGUAUGCACG
Lycium barbarum (goji berry) is the source of this 1757-nucleotide long non-coding RNA. RefSeq lists it as uncharacterized. NCBI's taxonomy places the organism in Eukaryota, Viridiplantae, Streptophyta, Magnoliopsida, Solanales, Solanaceae. The transcript has 5 exons. The record is from RefSeq and is a predicted model, not a curated record.